CUUCCGAUGUUGGCCCGCCAGUUAACCUGCACGCCGGGCCUGUUUAGGUGCAGGUUUUUUCUU
Klebsiella pneumoniae IS43 is the source of this 63-nucleotide non-coding RNA. The record is from Rfam. Lineage: Bacteria; Pseudomonadati; Pseudomonadota; Gammaproteobacteria; Enterobacterales; Enterobacteriaceae.